UGCGGGCGCAUGUGUGCGAGGGGUACAGCAUUCGCAGGCUUCACUGGCAAGUACGGGAGCGCACGAGUGCGAGCAAGACGGAAAGAUACGAUCUCAGGCUUGUUUUGGGUACGGGACUUCGAUCAAUAAUACUACUAGAUUCGCGAUAAGCGCUUCAAAAACGGCCCGAAAAAUAAGACCACAAAUAAAUUUGUGGUCUUAUUUCAAAUUAGUAUGGUCCAAUCAUAGCCAACACUAAGACGUCAAACCGCUGCACUGCGCGUUCAAAAACGGAGUAAAAAACCACCGUAACACCAAGGUUUUGGAAGGAAUAUAUUUUUUUGAUUUCCUAGUAGCCCCUUUUCACUGUGCACAAUGGAUAUAUAUUGUCGCGAAAGAAGGAGGAUAAGAAAUAUAGAACCCUUAUAAAAAUUCUAGAAUUGUUCAAUGGUGGUGGCAAAUCAAUGCAAAAAAGUAUUAUAAAAACUUUAUAUGUAUGUGUAAAUAUUUUAAGCGUAUAUGCUGAAAAGGAUUUGUUUUCUGGGGGAAACGAACACAGCCAUAAAAUAAGCCUAAAUUAAACUGAUUAUAGAAAAAUUCUUUAAUAUAAGAUUACAUUAUAUUUGUAAAAAAGAAACCGCUCAUAUAAAAAUGACUUCUAAAAAACAGCUUUAUAACAAGCUGAAUCUGUUUAAAGGUAAUUAAACAAAAAAAAAAUUGUUUUAAUUACUUCUGUAUAAAGAAUACGUGGAAAACGUUGUUGUUCCCUUGUUUCCUUUCUUUUUUUUUUUACUUUAUUCAAUUUUAUUAUUUAUUACCUAUUUGUUGUAAUAGCGGCAAUGUAAAAUAUUAUCUACAACUUUUUUGAAUCGGUCAAAAAUAGUUGCGACCAUACAAAACAAACCUAAAACAAAUAUAUUCUGCAACUCUACGUCUUUCAAUACUUACUGUGUUCUGAGCAUUGAAAUGUAAUACCAAGAA
Long non-coding RNA from Bombyx mori (domestic silkworm), 960 nucleotides. RefSeq lists it as uncharacterized. The transcript has 2 exons. The record is from RefSeq and is a predicted model, not a curated record. NCBI's taxonomy places the organism in Eukaryota, Metazoa, Arthropoda, Insecta, Lepidoptera, Bombycidae.